UGAUAGUGUACUUACUCGAAUUCAACCUCAGUUUGAAUUGUCUCAACUGGUCAAACGACCUGCCCCGGUCUGCCAGAUGCCCCUCUUCUGUUUGGGACUUUGCUAUCAUGUCAUAGCAUUUGAUUUCAUGACGAAUCAUAUCAUGAAACAAAGUCACCAUAGCUCUCUGAUACAGGCACUGACGUUCUGCUUCUUUAGAGGACGGUCUCCUUUCCAUGGCAGCUUGUGCACAACGACAUC
Molecule: long non-coding RNA, 240 nt
Filed under: Lathyrus oleraceus (garden pea)
Lineage: Eukaryota; Viridiplantae; Streptophyta; Magnoliopsida; Fabales; Fabaceae
Description: Pisum sativum (pea) long non-coding RNA (PSAT_LNC003617)
Source: RNAcentral